AACCGGCAAUCAAAAGAUUCUUGAGAGAUGAGUUGUUAGAACCUUGCAUGUCUCCCUACAAUACUCCUAUUUUACCAAUCAGAAAGUCAGAUGGGACUUACGGAUUACUUCAAGAUUUAAGAGGCUUGAAUAAGCUCGUCCAGAGUAAAAUGAGCAAGACAACGACUUGGGCAUGUACAAGGAAGAAGCAGUGUAACACAGG
Molecule: long non-coding RNA, 202 nt
Organism: Neopelma chrysocephalum (saffron-crested tyrant-manakin)
Lineage: Eukaryota; Metazoa; Chordata; Aves; Passeriformes; Pipridae
Exons: 2
Source: RefSeq, a predicted model, not a curated record